UCUCAAAGGCAUUAUUAGCUCUGUUCAGGUUGCGGAUGGGAACUUCAGGUGUGUAUUUCAGUUGAAACCUGGACAAACUUGACUGUGCAGUGGGCCGAUAAAAUCACAGCCGCGGGCCGCAAAUGGCCCUCGGGCCACACUUUGGACACCCCUGACCUAAAGGCUCAUCACACUGAUAUUCUCUGGAAGGUGGACUGGCUGUCGGAGUAUCUGCAAAUAGAAGAACAAGAGGCGAAUCUGGAGCAAAAGAGAAGAGGAUAGAGGGUGAAGUGCUCCAGGAAUCAGUGCUGCCUCUAUGAGAUAUGAUGCUGCUUGAUUUUGAUCAUUGACAUUUGCUUUCUCAUGCAUCCCGAAAAACAAAGCCUGCCUUCCAUUAAGGAAUUAUUCAAAUAACCUUCAACAGUGGAUGUUUUCCUACAGUUUUGUUGCAGGAAUAUGAGAACACAUACUGACAUCUCAAUUACUUAUGCAACGCUGAGAGUAGGCCCAGUGGAUGCAAUCACCGUGUGUGCGAUCCUCAGUCACUCCGAAUCACAGAGGCUCCCGGACAGACACACAUAAUUCAGACAAGUCAGACAGGAUUUGCAUACAAAGACUGCAAAAAAAAAAAAAAAAACAUAAAUAAAAAAUGCACCGUCUUGAGGGGGAGAGAAGACAGAGAUUCAAGAGAAGGGGGAUAGUGAUGGAAGGAGGGAAGCCAAGUAAAUUGUUUUAAAAAGGUCUAACACGUCAUGUUUUAUAUGUAAAAGGCUUGCUACAGCGAGCUGAUAUCGGCCUGUUUUAAAUCUCCACACAAAGCCGGACAUAAAUAUUAAAAAGAUAUCGGAAACUGGUGUAGGAUGUUCCUCGCUGGUACGUCAGCAGCACACUGGACCAGCUAUUGUUGUCCAUCUUGAUUCCUUAUAAAAAAAAAAAUGUUCCCCCCUUCCAAAUCUUCUGGA
Dunckerocampus dactyliophorus (ringed pipefish) is the source of this 941-nucleotide long non-coding RNA. RefSeq lists it as uncharacterized. The record is from RefSeq and is a predicted model, not a curated record. Lineage: Eukaryota; Metazoa; Chordata; Actinopteri; Syngnathiformes; Syngnathidae. The transcript is spliced from 4 exons.